Molecule: ribosomal RNA, 433 nt
Filed under: uncultured bacterium
Lineage: Bacteria
Description: partial 16S ribosomal RNA
Rfam family: Bacterial small subunit ribosomal RNA
Source: RNAcentral
AACGAACGCUGGCGGCAUGCCUAACACAUGCAAGUCGAACGAGACCUUCGGGUCUAGUGGCGCACGGGUGCGUAACGCGUGGGAAUCUGCCCUUGGGUUCGGAAUAACAGUUGGAAACGACUGCUAAUACCGGAUGAUGACGUAAGUCCAAAGAUUGAUCGCCCAGGGAUGAGCCCGCGUAGGUUUAGCUAGUUGGUGGGGUAAAGGCCUACCAAGGCGUCGAUCCUUAGCUGGUCUGAGAGGAUGAUCAGCCACACUGGGACUGAGACACGGCCCAGACUCCGACGGGAGGGAGCAGAGGGGUAUAUUGGAGGAUGGGGGAAAGCCUGAUCCAGCAAUGCCGGGUAAGUGAUGAAGGCGUUAGUGUUGUAAAGCUGUUUUACCCGGGAUGAUAAUGACAGUACCGGGAGAAUAAGCCCCGGCUAACUCCGUG